CUCGUAGGUGGUUUGUCGCGUCGUCUGUGAAAUUCCGGGGCUUAACUCCGGGCGUGCAGGCGAUACGGGCUGACUUGAGUGCUGUAGGGGAGACUGGAAUUCCUGGUGUAGCGGUGAAAUGUGUAGAUAUCGGGAAGAACACCAAUGGCGAAGGCAGGUCUCUGGGCCGUCACUGACGCUGAGGAGCGAAAGCGUGGGGAGCGAACA
This 207-nucleotide ribosomal RNA is filed under the name uncultured bacterium. RNAcentral describes it as "partial 16S ribosomal RNA". It matches the Rfam family "Bacterial small subunit ribosomal RNA", at positions 568 to 774 of the family's 1533-position model. The record is from RNAcentral.